CAGAUAUCAUCUCCUUCGGCGAUUCCGUUUGGAUAACUGUGGAAAUUCUAGAGCUAAUACACGUACUAAAGCCUUGAAUCAUGAGAGGCGCACUUAUUAGAACAGACCAAUCGUCGCAAGACGUUGACUGUUGACUCUGAAUAAUGCAGUAUAUUGUCGAAGCAAUUCGACAAAGGCCGAAACGAGUGUCUGCCCUAUCAACUAGAUGGUAGUCUAUUAGUCUACCAUGGUUGCAACGGGUAACGGAGAAUAAGGGUUCGACUCCGGAGAGGGAGCCUUAGAAACGGCUACCACAUCCAAGGAAGGCAGCAGGCGCGAAACUUAUCCACUGUUGACAAUGAGAUAGUGACUAAACAUAAAAAAGCCCCUCCUCUGGAGGGGCUAUUUCAAUGAGUUGAAUACAAAUGAUUCUUCGAGGAUCCAGGAGAGGGCAAGUCUGGUGCCAGCAGCCGCGGUAAUUCCAGCUCUCCUAGUGUAAAUCGUCAUUGCUGCGGUUAAAAAGCUCGUAGUUGGAUCUAGGUCAUAUGCUGUUGUUCGUUUUUAGCGUUAAUAACGGCUGUGACUUUCUGUUGGUUUUCUACUUCGGUGGUGACCAGCGCGUUUACUUUGAAUAAAUUAAAGUGCUCAAGACAAGCGUUCGCUUGAAUAGUUGAUCAUGGAAUAAUGGAACAGGACUUCGGUUCUUUUUAUUGGUUCUAGAACUGUAGUAAUGGUUAAGAGGGACAACUCGGGGGCAUUCGUAUCAUUGCGCGAGAGGUGAAAUUCGUGGACCGCAGUGGGACGCCCUAAAGCGAAAGCAUUUGCCAAGAAUGUCUUCAUUAAUCAAGAACGAAAGUC
RNAcentral lists this ribosomal RNA (837 nucleotides) under Caenorhabditis sp. 5 GVDU-2019. RNAcentral's name for it is "SSU rRNA". It matches the Rfam family "Eukaryotic small subunit ribosomal RNA", at positions 107 to 991 of the family's 1831-position model. Lineage: Eukaryota; Metazoa; Nematoda; Chromadorea; Rhabditida; Rhabditidae. The record is from RNAcentral.